Molecule: ribozyme, 76 nt
Filed under: Chelonoidis abingdonii (Abingdon island giant tortoise)
Lineage: Eukaryota; Metazoa; Chordata; Testudines; Testudinidae
Description: Mammalian CPEB3 ribozyme (ENSCABG00000013474.1)
Rfam family: Mammalian CPEB3 ribozyme
About the family: The mammalian CPEB3 ribozyme is a self cleaving RNA located in the second intron of the CPEB3 gene which belongs to a family of genes regulating messenger RNA polyadenylation. This ribozyme is highly conserved and found only in mammals.
Source: Rfam by way of RNAcentral
UGUGGCUCUUUGGGGCUAUAGCAGAAGUGUUCACAUUGUGGCCCCUGUUAGAUUCUCUGAAUCUGAGAAUCCAGCU